AGUGAGACAGCAGGGUCAAAUUGUGGUUCCAUUCCAAAUUUUCUAAAGAUUCUCCAUACUGCUUUCCAAAGUGGUUGUACAAUUUUGCAAUCCCACCAGCAAU
RNAcentral lists this microRNA precursor (103 nucleotides) under Marmota monax (woodchuck). Lineage: Eukaryota; Metazoa; Chordata; Mammalia; Rodentia; Sciuridae. The record is from RNAcentral.